GACGAACGCUGGCGGCGUGCUUAACACAUGCAAGUCGAACGGAAAGGCCCUGCUUGCAGGGUACUCGAGUGGCGAACGGGUGAGUAACACGUGGGUGAUCUGCCCUGCACUUCGGGAUAAGCCUGGGAAACUGGGUCUAAUACCGGAUAGGAGCCAUUUUUAGUGUGAUGGUUGGAAAGUUUUUUCGGUGUAGGAUGAGCUCGCGGCCUAUCAGCUUGUUGGUGGGGUAAUGGCCUACCAAGGCGGCGACGGGUAGCCGGCCUGAGAGGGUGGACGGCCACAUUGGGACUGAGAUACGGCCCAGACUCCUACGGGAGGCAGCAGUGGGGAAUAUUGCACAAUGGGCGCAAGCCUGAUGCAGCGACGCCGCGUGGGGGAUGACGGCCUUCGGGUUGUAAACUCCUUUCGCUAGGGACGAAGCUUUUUGUGUCGGUACCUAGAUAAGAAGCACCGGCUAACUACGUG
This 465-nucleotide ribosomal RNA is filed under the name uncultured bacterium. Its description in RNAcentral is "partial 16S ribosomal RNA". It matches the Rfam family "Bacterial small subunit ribosomal RNA", at positions 28 to 507 of the family's 1533-position model. The record is from RNAcentral.